AUGGCGAAACUCGCAGCUGUCAGUCGCAGCGUGUUUAGAUUUACGAACGAAACCAUGAGGAUUGUUAUGGUAACGGUUAUCGGAGUGGUCCUUGGCUUCUUCAUUGGAAUUUCAUUCCCGUCGGUGAGCAUAACAAAGCUACACUUCCCAUCCAGCUUUGUUUCGUACAUAGAGGAGAGGAACUCUGGGCUCACGACCCAAGCUUUGCUUAACCAUGCCUGGAAUUCAGUCAGAAAUGCAAGGGAGAACACUUCCGAACCAAAUACAAACACUACUUUAAAGAUUUAUGUCCCGACAAACCCCAGGGGUGCAGAGAGGCUAGCACCAGGCAUUGUUGUGCCAGAUACUGACUUCCAUCUGCGCAGGUUGUGGGGAGACCCAAGUGAGGACCUGCCAUUCAAACCAAAGUACCUUGUGACUUUCACUGUUGGAUAUGCACAGAAAGAAAAUAUAAACAGAGCAGUGAAGAAGUUUUCUGACAAUUUCGCUAUCCUGUUAUUCCACUAUGAUGGUCGUGUGACCGAAUGGGACGAAUUUGAGUGGUCAAAGCGAGCCAUCCAUAUCAGUGUCAGCAAACAAACUAAAUGGUGGUAUGCCAAAAGAUUCUUGCACCCUGAUAUUGUGGCAGCUUAUGAGUACAUAUUCAUCUGGGAUGAAGACCUUGGGGUGGAUCAUUUCAACGCAGAGGAGUACAUCAAACUUGUUAAGAAAAACGGUCUGGAUAUCUCCCAGCCCGGCUUGGAACCUGACCGGGGACUAACUUGGCAGAUGACCAAAAGAAGAGGUGACCGAGAGGUGCACAAGGAGACAGAGGAAAGGCCAGGCUGGUGUGCUGACCCUCAUCUUCCACCUUGUGCAGCGUUUGUUGAAAUAAUGGCUCCAGUCUUCUCAAGGGAGGCAUGGCGGUGUGUAUGGCAUAUGAUUCAGAAUGAUUUGGUCCAUGGAUGGGGUCUCGACUUCGCCCUCAGGAAAUGUGUAGAGCCUGCUCAUGAGAAGAUCGGAGUCGUCGAUUCCCAGUGGAUCGUUCACCAGGUGGUUCCUUCUCUCGGGAACCAGGGCAAGGCGGAGGGCGGGAAGCCGGCGUGGGAAGGGGUGAGGGCGCGGUGCCGGAAGGAGUGGGGCAUGUUCCAGAUGAGGAUGGCGGAUGCCGAGAAGGCCUACUACAAGAUGAUGGGCAUCACCCCUCCAAACUCCACACUUGUCUAG
Molecule: ribosomal RNA, 1206 nt
Filed under: Triticum aestivum (bread wheat)
Lineage: Eukaryota; Viridiplantae; Streptophyta; Magnoliopsida; Poales; Poaceae
Description: partial small subunit ribosomal RNA
Source: RNAcentral